Long non-coding RNA from Vespula pensylvanica (western yellowjacket), 1523 nucleotides. RefSeq lists it as uncharacterized. Lineage: Eukaryota; Metazoa; Arthropoda; Insecta; Hymenoptera; Vespidae. The transcript is spliced from 2 exons. The record is from RefSeq and is a predicted model, not a curated record.
AACGUGUAAGCGCGUCACUGUGGAAGUGCGCGCGUACGUAUGUAUAAAAUGUAGACCUUAAAGAGCAGGUAGUGCGCUUUCAAUUCGCUUUUGAGAUAGCGCGGAAGAGCGAAGAAGCUUGGAACUUUUGAGAGAAGCUAGUAGAGGGUUCUCCUUUCUUUGACUGAUCGCACGUAAAUUUUGAAGGAAUCCACGGGUCUAUUGUGGAUCAUCGGUCGUGCGAGAAAAGAAAUUUUCCUUGGACGAGCCGACCGUAAGAUCUUCCCACAUACCUGCGUCGUGAUUAAUGUCAUGCCUGUUCGAGACGUUUUUCAUUCGAGUCGUUCGUAUUUUUUAGUUUCUCAUACGAGAAUACAUAUUUAACGUGUACGUCGGUCAACGAUUAUACUUGGUCGUAAUCUACACGGUAUAAAAGUGUAGAAGAGACAGUCGAACGGAUCUUGAGUGACCUAUGGCCCUGUAUUGGCCAUCUACGUACGUACGUAGCUACCGAGUGAUCGAUUGAAAUCCCGAUGGCGUAUCUUAUUCUUUCAUUACUCGAUGGCACUGUGUAAUCGACGCAUAUCGCAUUUACGAUAGAGCAUCGAACGCUGUAAGCGAAGUGGUUUAGUAAUCCGGCAGCGGCACUUGCGCAAUCCAGGAAUUUCUCAUGCGAGGCGAAGGAAGGAAAUUGCGUUGCCCAAUUAGAAAUCGCGGGAGACCGCAGAAGGAGGAAAGGAACGAGAUAAAGGAAAGAAAAGGAGAUAAAAAUAGGGAGAGGGAGCGCAAAAGGAUGAUCGUAAGAAAUAAGAAAGGGAAAGCACUGGAACGAAGGAGGACGAGCGGUCGAAGAAGAAAGAAAAGGGUAGGAGGGCAAACGACGGAGAGGAGAAGAGAGCUCCACUCGUCAUCCCGGAUGUGCAACAUCUUUACAUGCUAUUCUUCGAUGCAGUUACCUACCAACACGAUUGUUCUCUUUUUCGCCUAUUAACGAGUCUUUAGCUAUACCUGUCUCUACGUAGAUGUAUGUACAUCCAUAUCACGAUACGGCAUAUACCGCACUGUGGCACGCACGCACGCACGCACGCACGCAAGCAAUGAAUAAUAAUAAUCAUGAAAUAAUAACAUAUUACGACAAAUAUUCAACCAAUUGAAUUUGGACGCGAGUAUGACUUCGUUAUUACAUUAUUAUUAAAUGAAUAAUAGAAUUGUUGGCCUAUUCGACUGAGAAUCCGACCGAGCGAGUAUUCGUUGCUUUGGAGAAAGUGUCUCUUGUACGAUGCCUUAAGGCGCAUUUCACAUGCGCUUUAAGAGCUCCGGCAAAGCGAGUUCCGACUCGCGGGCCGUGUGUUAACGCACGCUCGGCUUAUGUAAUCGGUUACGGUAAUAGCGUAGUUAUAGCAAUCCGGGAGCAACCAACGGGUAACACAAUUCCUUGUUAAUACGCUAACGAAUAAACUAGCUCCUAUAUUGUACAUUGCUAUCGCCUAUUUUCAUACGAGAUUCUUCUUUAAGAAUAAAAACUAGAAAAUACGAGUUAUAAA